Molecule: ribosomal RNA, 444 nt
Filed under: uncultured Bacillota bacterium
Lineage: Bacteria; Bacillati; Bacillota
Description: bacterial SSU rRNA
Rfam family: Bacterial small subunit ribosomal RNA
Source: RNAcentral
AGCAUGUGGUUAAUUCGAAGCAACGCGAAGAACCUUACCAGGUCUUGACAUCCUUUUGAAUAUACUAGAGAUAGUAUAGGCCUUCGGGACAGAAGAGACAGGUGGUGCAUGGUUGCCGUCAGCUCGUGUCGUGAGAUGUUGGGUUAAGUCCCGCAACGAGCGCAACCCUUGUCACUAGUUACUAACAUUUAGUUGAGGACUCUAGUGAGACUGCCAGUGAUAAACUGGAGGAAGGUGGGGAUGACGUCAAAUCAUCAUGCCCCUUAUGACCUGGGCUACACACGUGCUACAAUGGUCGGUACAAAGAGUCGCGAAGCCGUGAGGCCAAGCUAAUCUCAUAAAACCGAUCUCGGUUCAGAUUGUAGUCUGCAACUCGACUACAUGAAGUCGGAAUCGCUAGUAAUCGCGAAUCAGCAUGUCGCGGUGAAUACGUUCUCGAGUCUU